This 473-nucleotide ribosomal RNA is filed under the name uncultured bacterium. RNAcentral's name for it is "partial 16S ribosomal RNA". It matches the Rfam family "Bacterial small subunit ribosomal RNA", at positions 28 to 507 of the family's 1533-position model. The record is from RNAcentral.
GACGAACGCUGGCGGCGUGCCUAAUACAUGCAAGUCGAGCGGACGAAUCGAAAGCUUGCUUUUGAUUCGUUAGCGGCGGACGGGUGAGUAACACGUGGGCAACCUGCCCUGUAGACGGGGAUAACACCGAGAAAUCGGUGCUAAUACCGGAUAACACGAAAUGUCGCAUGACGUUUCGUUUAAAGACGGCGCAAGCUGUCGCUACAGGCUGGGCCCGCGGCGCAUUAGCUAGUUGGUGAGGUAACGGCACACCAAGGCGACGAUGCGUAGCCGACCGGAGAGGAUGAUAAGCAGCACGGGGACUGAGACACGGAGCAGACUGAGAGGGGAGGAAGCAGGGGGGAAUAUGGGGUAAUGGGAGAAAGACAGACACAGCAACGGAGCGUGAGUGAUGAAGGCCGUAGGGUUGGAAAAAUGGUUUGACCGGGAUGAUAAUGACAGUACCGGGAGAAUAAGCGCAGGCUAACGCCGUG